GGAACCGUAGCUCAGUGGUAGAGCGCCCAGAUUUGACACCUGGGAGGUCGUGGGUUCGAAUCCCACUGGUUAUU
RNAcentral lists this transfer RNA (74 nucleotides) under Azospirillum brasilense. RNAcentral's name for it is "tRNA-OTHER". It matches the Rfam family "tRNA". From Rfam's summary of the family: Transfer RNA (tRNA) molecules are approximately 80 nucleotides in length. Lineage: Bacteria; Pseudomonadati; Pseudomonadota; Alphaproteobacteria; Rhodospirillales; Azospirillaceae. The record is from RNAcentral.